Pseudophryne corroboree (corroboree frog) is the source of this 1175-nucleotide long non-coding RNA. RefSeq lists it as uncharacterized. NCBI's taxonomy places the organism in Eukaryota, Metazoa, Chordata, Amphibia, Anura, Myobatrachidae. The record is from RefSeq and is a predicted model, not a curated record. The transcript is spliced from 3 exons.
UCUUCUAUGCUGACUGUCGUGUGCUGCCUGUUGUGCCCUAAGACGGGGCACAUGGAACAAGUUACCCCAGCCCCCUCUGCUGCCUUUGAUAAUCGCAGCAGUGCACUAUUGCACUGCUGAGCUGGAAACAUGAAUGGUCCGAAAAGGGGGCGGAGCUACACGGCACUUUACUCAGUGCCAGGCCAGCCAGCACCAUCGAAGAGAGGAGGGGAGAGGAGCAGCAGCAGCAGCACACACCGAAGCCUAAAUACAUCCGAUCAAUUUCUUCUGGUUCGGAUAUAUUCUCCUCCAACAGCAUUUUACACCACAUCAGUUCCCAUUAUCCCGUCACUCUGAGAUCAAUUCCAAAAGGAUAAAGUGCUAGGAACAGCACGAAACGCGUUGGUGGAUAGCGGUACUACAGACAAGACACCCUGCCGCCUAGGAGACCGGACGCCGCCGAGUGACGUCACCCGCCACACUCCGCUUCCCCCGCUGGAUGCAGCGGUGGUGAGUAAGAACAUACAGACACGGACAGCCAUUUACACCACCAGGCUGAGGAAUCCCGUGAACUUAGAGUGAGGAAAGAAGUCUCAGUGGACACCGAAUGAAUCGUCUCAGGAUCAGCAAACCUUUACAGCACCAGUAAAAGCCUCCAAAUCUUGAAGAAUGGUAUCCAGGAUGCAUUGAGUGGUUUUACCCAUUCUAGAGCCUCCCCUCUAAAGGCUGUGACCAGUUUCGGCUGGAGUGGUAAGAAAUGGAGCUGCGGUUUGACAUUGAUGCAUUAGAUUGCAUAAGUGGUCUAAUUUGCCAUAAAUACAAGUCAGGUGCUACAGAUCGAGAAUCCUUUGUUGUGAUAGUUCCAGUGCUUUACAGCAUGGAUGGUUUCCAUUGUAACAGUGAAUCAUUAGCCAUUGGUACCUUAGACAUAGUGGAAACCAGGACUGGACUGGCUGCUAUAGUCAUUUUGCCUCUAUAGGAAGCAAUUAAACGAAAUUUAAAAGUCUCCCUCCAGCCCAGCCAUUGAAAGAUGGGGCUUUUCUGUGUUGCUUAGUGUAAACUGGAUUAAUGAUAAAGAUUGGGAUCCCUGUAAUGGCAAUUUAAUGACUCAGUGUACCUGUGUAAUAUACCACAAAAUAAAAAAAUACUUCUCUCAUUUGAUAACCAAACUGAGAUUUUAUCAUAUAGGUGGUAAC